GAAUUCACUAGUGAUUCAGGCCUAACACAUGCAAGUCGAACGAACUGAUAAGGAGCUUGCUCCCUUGAAGUUAGUGGCGGACGGGUGAGUAACGCGUGGGUAACCUGCCCUAUGCAGGGGGAUAACGUUUGGAAACGAACGCUAAUACCGCAUAAACUAUGGUUGUUCGCAUGAACAAUAUAGCAAAGAUUUAUCGGCAUAGGAUGGACCCGCGUUGGAUUAGCUAGUUGGUGAGAUAACAGCCCACCAAGGCGACGAUCCAUAGCCGGCCUGAGAGGGUGAACGGCCACAUUGGGACUGAGACACGGCCCAAACUCCUACGGGAGGCAGCAGUGGGGAAUAUU
Molecule: ribosomal RNA, 344 nt
Filed under: uncultured bacterium
Lineage: Bacteria
Description: bacterial SSU rRNA
Rfam family: Bacterial small subunit ribosomal RNA
Source: RNAcentral